AAGGAACCAAAAUUCCAUUUUGCUGUCUUCCCUUGCUCUCCACGUACAACCAGGAAGGAAUUCCUUCCUUCCCACCUUCCCUCAAUUAUGUCCAAGUUCACUCCUUGGACCCCAAACAAUGCUCCUUCUUCUUCACUCUACUUCACCUUAUUACCAGACACAAAUUUUCACCCAUUUCCUCAACCAAAAUCAAUUACCAAAAAUAAAAACUGAAAAUCUUACCCCCUGCCUCUCUCAUUCGACCACCACAACAAACACCACCAACAACAACCACCUCAACCACCACUACCACCAUCAUCUAACCUCGCUACAACCACCCCGCAUUGCCCGACCACCCAGAACCACCGCCACACCCACCAUACCCCACCGUACUCCCCCUUGCUCUCCUCGGUCGAACUCCCCUGCCUCCCUCUUUUCUUUCCCCUUGCUGCACCACCCACGCAACAACACCACUCUCGACCACCCUCACCAUCCUUUGAACCGAUCUCCGCCCCAAAAUCCCCCGUCGAGCCACCUUGACUCCGCCCAGAACCAAGCAGAACACGCCCCCCCUCGAACCUCCCUUGUCUCUCCCCUUUCCCCACUUCGCAGCACCACCCACGCCACGUCCCACCACUGACCACCAUCGGCGCAACCCUUCUGCGCUGCUCAUCCAACCUCCACCGCCCAGCCCAGCCACCUUAUUCCUCCCCCAUCUCUCUCCUCCCCUUCGUGCCUCCCCUGUUCGCGCACCCCUUCCUCCUCGCGCCGCCGCGAACAACCACCAGCAUCACCGUCGCCUCUAGGCGCGGUUCUCGGUGCGGCGCCGCCCAGCCGACCACCUUUCCCCCCUGCUCCUCUUCGUGCUCCCUUCCCUGUUUCGGCCCCUUCCCCUGUUUGUGUCUCCUUUUUCCAGAAUCAAGAAAUCAGUUUCAAUUGUGAAACUUUGAUUUCUAAUUUCUCAAACCCAUAUUAAAAGUUGGGCCAUAUUUCAUUUGGCAUUUUGGAAAUUGGACUCGGAGCUCAUGAAGAACGAUCCAUCAAACGAGAAGUACAGAACUACGGUUGAGGUAACGCCACAGGUGGAUCGCCUGACAGUAAAUUUGCGACACAGGAAGCCGCCUUUUCUGAUAGUUUGACGGAUUUUAACACCUUAUACGGUUUAAAACUUCAAUCAAACAUCAAACACACAUGUGUAGAACAG
Spinacia oleracea (spinach) is the source of this 1183-nucleotide long non-coding RNA. RefSeq lists it as uncharacterized. The transcript has 3 exons. Lineage: Eukaryota; Viridiplantae; Streptophyta; Magnoliopsida; Caryophyllales; Amaranthaceae. The record is from RefSeq and is a predicted model, not a curated record.